Molecule: long non-coding RNA, 4399 nt
Organism: Pezoporus flaviventris
Lineage: Eukaryota; Metazoa; Chordata; Aves; Psittaciformes; Psittacidae
Exons: 5
Source: RefSeq, a predicted model, not a curated record
UCCUGCUCCCCCGAAAAAAGAAAGAAAAUACGUUUUCUGUGAGGAAAUAUCCCGCGUUUUGGGCAGGCUGUCCGAUCUCUCGCUUCUUAAUGCCGCCUCAGAGCAGCCUCGGGUCCCACAGCAGCCCCUGAGGCGGGGCGGAGGGGCUCCGGGGGGCUCCUGCUUCCCUCUGCACUCUGAGCCCCUGCUCUAACGAAACUUACCUAAACCAUGUAACAUUAAUGUAAAUGGGUUUAAUUGCCGCGUAUUUAAGCCAUGAAGCCGGACUGAACAAUCUGUUAAAACUUGGCCUGUUCCCAAGCCAUUGACACCAUCCAGCUUCCCCGCGCCAUGGGGGGGGAAUAGGGGGAAGGGGGUGUCCAAAUACGUUUUGAUACAGGAGUUUUCAAUGUACCAGGUAAAACAUCUCCCUGAACCCGGCUGCUUUUAACGAACCACCCGGUUCCUUUUGUUUGCUGCACGUUUGCAACUCAUUCAAACAAGUUUUAGAAAGUUUGGGGUUUGAGCUGUUAACUUCCUUCGGAGCGGGAGACUAAUGCAUGCAAAAUACUUAGUUACAAUUUAUGCGAAAGGCACCGAUCUGUAAAAGCAUUUUCUACUUUCACAAAGGAUUUUCCUGUUACUUGUGUUCCGGUCAGAAAAUUAAAAAAAAAAAAAAAAAGCGAAAGAAAAAAAAAUACACACACCAAAAAAAAAAAAAAACUUGGGGGAGAGAUAAGGUCUGGAAAACAAUCUGGAAUUGCCAGGCUGUUGGUGGGAGCUCUGCGGGGCUGGCGUCAGGAAGUCUGCGCCGCCUUCUAUUACUGUUGAUCCAGCUUUGUGCAGCUGCACUCAGUACAAUUAGCUUGUAGAAACAAUCCUGCUGUAGGCAGCCUCUUCCCUUCAAAGUGCUUUUCUAUACUGAUCCCCUCACAUCAUGAUGCUGGAAAUCAAGUCACAAGCCGACCACUGUUUGGCCAACAUCAUCUGUGGGAAUUCAUUAACCUCCAUCCCAGAGAUGCAACAAGAGAUUGUUUGUCCAGAACUAAACUUACAGCUUAAUAUGAUGUAGCCCAUACAGGAAAAAACCUGUGUCCCCAUUUCUUUUUUUCUUUUUCUUUUUUUUUUUUUUUUCCUGGUCAAUAACAAGAAACACAUUGUGCAGCUUUUUCUCUUCUUUUUUUCUUUUUUUUUUUUUUUCUUCAGGGGGUGGGGAACGGAGCUGAAACCAGGCAUGAGCCGGCUCCUGCUAAAACUUUGCGAUCGAACUGCUUUUUGGUUCAUCGGGCUGCAGUUUCCAUAGAAUCAACUUAUCCCUGCGAUCAUCUUGUUGGGUGCACUUUGCAAGCUCAUUUCCCGUCUGAGUUUGCUCCGCUGCUCUCAGAUGCUGCAGCUGACACAUUUCCUCUCCGUGCACUUUGCACCCACCUCAUCCUUGCCCAGAUGCUCAGGGCUGAUUGUGCCUAAAAGGGGGUUUCAUCACACUCCGCAGCUGCCUUGGGGGAGGGCAAUUUUUUAUCUUGUUUUACAUUUUAUUUCCACUUUCCCCGCUCCAGUGUUCCUCUCCAUGCCAUGAAGCAGGCCCUCCUUGUCCCCAUGCCCCCAGUGGAGGAGUGCUGGCUGGCUGGGAUACAGCUGCGGCCACAAGCCCUCGGCAGUACGCCUUUGCAUUCUGCCCAUGGCUCACAGAGCCCCUGUGCUGGUCCGGGUGGAGUGGAUCCACGGGUGGGACACCACUGCUGUGCACCACAGGCCGGGAAGCUGUGUGAGCAGCCCCAGAGCAGACGCAGGUGACAUCUCCCUGCUGCAGGGGCUGCUUGUGAACAACCAUGCUGCUGGGAGCAUGAGUCCUGCUUCCUGACACCCCUGGCUGCUGGUGGCUGGGCUCUACACGUCCCACUGGCAGCACCGCUCGACAGUAGGGCUGGUGUCACUGCUCCUCACCUCAGGUACCUCAUUUGGCUGCAAGCAUGCAGCCAAGUGCACCUACCCCACUCUGAACCCCUCUGUUCUUCACAGAACACAUGGAUGUAUUUUCUGACCCCUAUUUCCAAAACCUGUCCUUUUCUGGGCCAUGUUUGCAAAUGCCACGGAUCUGCCAACUGUAAGAUUUUCUGUCCCCCCACUAUGCUUUGGAAUAAUGUUGUUUUUUUACAGUAUCAUUCCUGUCACCCCCACAUUUAGGCAUCGCUCAUCUGCUGCUGUUACAUUCUAAAGCUGCAUGUUGUUGGAGGCUUGGGAAGUAUUGUGGCAAAACAUGUAUUUUCUCACUUUUUUUCCCACAUCUGGUUUUUGUCAGAAGUGCUGGACUUCAGGAUAGGCAGGCCUUUGUUCUGAUUCAGUUUUGACAUGUGUAUCAUUUUGUGAUUACACUCCCGAACUACUGUUCUGCAGGAACGCCUUUUACUCAGACUGCAUUUUCUAGCACCACCCUGCAAAGAGGGGUGUUUCUACCUGAAUUGUGGGGUUUUGCUGGGACAUUUCUAUCAAGUCCAAGUUCAGACACUUCAGUUCUAAUAUUUUCUUGUCUUUUGUAGGAUUUCUUGUUCCUGUAAGUAGGAUCAGUGCCCUGAAGGCAUUUCUGCAUAAACUGCCAUCUGCAAAGGGCUGUUUCUUGCCUGAUGCUACUUGAAGAAAACUGCCAUUAAAUCUUUCUGGAAGCAGCAUCUAUCUCUCUGGCAUAGUUUGAAAGGGACCAACUUGCAGAAAAAAAAUGGAAGUUCUGUGCUGGUAACAGGCAUGAGAAGGUUCACCUGAAAGAAUGCACCUUUCUAUUCUCCGUAAGCGUCCAGAAGACCUUCUGCAGCAGCAUCCACUGCAGUGCAAUCACACAGUGUCACUCUUUGUCAGUGGCAGGAAUUAUGUUAUAUUUCAGUCUCUCACGAAGUCCAGAUGACUAUAGUGAAGUCUUCCAGAGUUACUCGUUCAAAAGCAAUGUUUUUGGAGUUCAGUUGAGACACUUCAUACAGAUGUGUUGACUCCCUGUGUUUGUGUGCUUCUGAAAAUGUUUAGGCUUUCCAGACUCUUAGAAAGAUUUCCGGUCAUUUUUCUACUAAAGUAACCCUUGAAAAUAUAGAACAAUUAUAAAGGUUGAGUGUGCAUUGGACAUUCAUCCCCCUCAAACCACCAAAACUAUGGUGACUCUUCUGCUGUCUGAGGGUCUACUGUGUCCCAUGAAACUUAAGAAAAAUGUGUCUUAAAAUCUCCUUACAUAUUUUUGUGGAGCAUUUUUAAUAAGUAAGCGUGGGAUUCACCUCAGAUUAAACUACCAGCGUUCAGAGGCUUGAUCUAGUUGUAGGAGUCCAGCACUAUUGGAAGUGCUCAGUUCUCCCAUCUGGACUCCAGCUGCUGCUCCAUAUUGGUAAAGGAGUCACAUACCUGGAGUGCCAUCCUUGCCAGUCCUGCAUGGAUUUCUUGGGCACCUAAUUGCACCUCAGGUGACACAAACAAUAGUCAGUAGACAUCAACAUCUACUCGGUGCACUUGAGAGUUGUCUGCAGGGAAUGUCUGCUUCUGGUGUUGCUGCUACCUGGUACAGGUACCCAGGCUCUGCUGUGGUUGUAGUUAACAUGGCUAAAUCAGCUAAAUGCGAGUGAACUCGAGUAUCUUCUUCUUGACACGCCUCUGACUGUUAGCUGUGUGAUCAGUUGGAGUCCAACUGAGGUUUCUGAGGUGACAUGAAACUAAGCAAGUUGCAAAAGAAGUAAACAAACUGUAAAGAAGAGAAAGUAGGGGCUUGGUGCCUGGUCCAUCUGUGAGUUCCAGACUGAGGGAUAACUUGCUGAUGUGAAGAUCACUGCAGGAUCAGGUCUUAUGAAGGAAGCACCCCAUCUUCUCUUAAUGACAGCAUCGUUAAUAGUGCAGAUGCAGUCGCCCUCCACAGCCUUCUGCAUCAGCAAGUUCCAGAAGUUCAGGUGUAGUUGGAUGCAUGUUGUGCUAAAGUGCAGGAGGGGGGAUCAUCUGUGCCAUAUCUUUCUGCUUUCUAAUACAAAAUGCUGCGGUCUACCACGACAGGGUCUUGACUCACACAGAAAAAAAGUGUUGGGUUAUAUGUGGACCAGAACCUGAAUACAUAUUGAUAAACCAUCUCAAAAAGCUACACUAACUAACACAAGAAAUAAGUCACCAAUUUCUGCGUACCUUGUGUAUGAAGAAAACCAAUUCCAUAUUUAUCAGAACACCAGACACUCCUUCUUCCACCUCUCCUUCUCAGGUAAAUUCUCUUUAGCAAUUCAUUUCUGUUUCACCUUGAAGGCUUACAGUACCCUGGAAAUCCUCAUUAAAUGCUAGUGAAUAACUUAAAGAAAAAAACAGUGCUGUUUGUCUUGCUGUGUCUUUAAAUCUAACCUUUAUUGUUUAAGUUGCAUUUGAGGGGGGGGGAAGUGUCAACUUGUUGAAAGAUGAGUGCACUCUAUUAUGC